AUGUUUCAGUCACGGUACAGAGAAGAUGAGCAAGAGAGGGUCUGGAAGGAACCAAGAGCUUUGGAGAGGAGACCCGGUCCCUCACAAGGAUUCGUCUCAGACCUCUUGGUCUACCAAGAGCUACACAGCCUGGCUGCCAGUGGUGAAUGUGCUUGCCAACGACACAAGCUAGGCCGGCGGUUUGCAGUGAUGCAGUACUGCGGAUAGAACCUAAAACAUUCAGCCCCUUUUAUAUUUUGAGAAAAGGUCUCACUGUCACUAAAAUGCCCAGGCUCAGCUUGCCUUUAUAACCCUCUUGCUUCAGCCUCCCAGAGUGCUGGGACUACAGGUGUGUGCCACUGUACCCGGGUGACCUGGAGCACUAGGCACAGUACAGAGGGCAUUAACAAAACUAAACAGUAAAACAUUUCGAAUUUAGUGCACUUUUGAACUCUCAUUAAAAAAAAAAAAGAAUGGAGGAAAAGCAUUAUCUGAGGAAGAAACAAGUAGAAAGUUUCCAGAACUGACAUAAAGAAAAUAGCAAGAUUUUAAGGCAUUUUUAAAGACAAACUAUUGUUACAGUUCUCAGUGAGUGUGAUUGUGUAGAAUUUCUGCUCUUCAUAAUAUUUGGCAUGUUCAGGAAAUAAUGUAUGUUACCUGGUAAAUUUCAGUGUUACUUAUUCAUUUAAUAAAAAGUUUUUGGGUGUCACUACAGUCCAAGCUGGUCUGGAUCCCACUGUGUAAUCCAGGCUGGCCUUGAACUCUUUAAAAGAUCCUCCUGCCUCAGUCUUUUAGAAUACUGGGACUGAUGGUGUUCAUCACCACACCCAGCUCAGCAAAUAGUCUUGAAAGCCUCUGUAGCGUUUGUAUUGGAGGUAUUGGGAAGAGCAACGAGCAAAGCAUUAAAAACAUCCCAGCCAUCAGCGAGCUUACACUGUAGUGUAAGGAAGCAAUGAAAAGGUACCAUUUGUCAGAGGCUGUGUGGAGAAACAAGACAGGGAAAUGAGACCAGGGCAAGGGCGGCAGGUUGGUGGAGUAUGCAGAGGUUUGACCCCAGGACCUCCCACCUCUGGGCCUAUGCUCUUUCCCUGGGCCUCAUCCCUCCCAGUCCGUGAUUUUAGAUAGGAUGCUUAGGAAAGGCCACCCAGAGAAGGUGAUUUUAUCUUAAUCAGCCUGACUUGCCCCUGUGCCAAAGUAGUC
Molecule: long non-coding RNA, 1179 nt
Filed under: Fukomys damarensis (Damara mole-rat)
Lineage: Eukaryota; Metazoa; Chordata; Mammalia; Rodentia; Bathyergidae
Description: lncRNA (ENSFDAG00000027140.1)
Source: RNAcentral